Molecule: ribosomal RNA, 209 nt
Filed under: uncultured bacterium
Lineage: Bacteria
Description: partial 16S ribosomal RNA
Rfam family: Bacterial small subunit ribosomal RNA
Source: RNAcentral
CUCGUAGGCGGUUCAGUAAGUCGGGUGUGAAAACUCUGGGCUCAACCCAGAGACGCCACCCGAUACUGCUGUGACUUGAGUACGGUAGGGGAGCGGGGAAUUCCUGGUGUAGCGGUGAAAUGCGCAGAUAUCAGGAGAACACCAGUGGCGAAGGCGCCGCUCUGGGCCGAAACUGACGCUGAGGAGCGAAAGCAGUGGGUAGCAAAACA